This 444-nucleotide ribosomal RNA is filed under the name uncultured bacterium. RNAcentral's name for it is "bacterial SSU rRNA". It matches the Rfam family "Bacterial small subunit ribosomal RNA", at positions 8 to 455 of the family's 1533-position model. The record is from RNAcentral.
AGAGUUUGAUCCUGGCUCAGGACGAACGCUGGCGGCGUGCUUAACACAUGCAAGUCGAACGGUGAAGUCCCUUCGGGGGCGGAUCAGUGGCGAACGGGUGAGUAACACGUGGGCAAUCUGCCCCUCACUGUGGGAUAACUCCGGGAAACCGGGGCUAAUACCGCAUAUGAAGCCUGGCGGCAUCGCCGGGUUUGGAAAGUUUUUCGGUGAGGGAUGAGCCCGCGGCCUAUCAGCUUGUUGGUGAGGUAAUGGCUCACCAAGGCGACGACGGGUAGCCGGCCUGAGAGGGCGACCGGCCACACUGGGACUGAGACACGGCCCAGACUCCUACGGGAGGCAGCAGUGGGGAAUAUUGGGCAAUGGGCGAAAGCCUGACCCAGCGACGCCGCGUGCGGGAUGAAGGCCUUCGGGUUGUAAACCGCUUUCAGCAGGGAAGAAGCGAAA